GACGAACGCUGGCGGCGUGCUUAACACAUGCAAGUCGAACGGAAAGGCCCUGCUUUUGUGGGGUGCUCGAGUGGCGAACGGGUGAGUAACACGUGAGUAACCUGCCCUUGACUUUGGGAUAACUUCAGGAAACUGGGGCUAAUACCGGAUAGGAGCUCCUGCUGCAUGGUGGGGGUUGGAAAGUUUCGGCGGUUGGGGAUGGACUCGCGGCUUAUCAGCUUGUUGGUGGGGUAGUGGCUUACCAAGGCUUUGACGGGUAGCCGGCCUGAGAGGGUGACCGGCCACAUUGGGACUGAGAUACGGCCCAGACUCCUACGGGAGGCAGCACUGGGGAAUAUUGCACAAUGGGCGGAAGCCUGAUGCAGCAACGCCGCGUGCGGGAUGACGGCCUUCGGGUUGUAAACCGCUUUCGCCUGUGACGAAGCGUGAGUGACGGUAAUGGGUAAAGAAGCACCGGCUAACUACGUG
Molecule: ribosomal RNA, 468 nt
Filed under: uncultured bacterium
Lineage: Bacteria
Description: partial 16S ribosomal RNA
Rfam family: Bacterial small subunit ribosomal RNA
Source: RNAcentral